AGGUUAAAGUACACAGAGAAUAAGCCAGUGAUCCCUCCGCCACAGACCCAUUCUUUCCAUUUGUUGCCUCACGGUAUGCAAAAAAAAGUCCCGCGAAAUCGGUCAUCAACUUUGGGACCUAGAGGAAAAUUGCCGUGGCACAUAGAUAAGACUGAACGGCGAGAUCCUGAGCUAUAAGUGCCUAUUGGAUUGUUCUUCAAGUGCGUGGGCUGUCUACCGAAGAUGAGCCUUCCACUUCGCGGAAGAAUCUCACAGGAAAGGGGGGAUUGAGAAGGUAUUCAGAGACUUGCAAAGAAAUUUAAAGUAGUUGAAGGCCAUAAUGAAUGAUGCAAGAGAUGAAAGAGAAGGUGACUUUGAAGGACAAAGCAGUUAAGAGGUGAUUGUGUGCCCUGGACCUUAAGUAUUUUGAUUGAUUGAAAAAGAAAUGGAAUAAAGAAAUUAAAGACAUGUUCAUAAAGGCUGGUGUUUGACAUUACAUCACAUUUAAUCCUUAAGAAGAACUCAUGCCUCCAUUUUGUAAGUGUGAAAACGGAUAAUCAGAGAAUGUUUGGAAACAUACAAGGGAUUAUAGAUGCAAAUUAACUCUGGAUGUUAAUUUUCAAUAUACAUAUUCUGAAUCUGACUUUUAAGUUUUUAAAGUUAAUAACACAAGAAUUGAAUUGGAUUUAUAAUCUGCAGACCAUUUAAAGGAAGGGAGCUGCUAAAUGAAAAAAAAACUUAUCCGGCUGAACGGAAGGCAGAAUGGGAACGAGAUAAGCAAAAGAAACUGGAACAUAUGGUAAAAAUGUUUUUAAUGUGAAAAGUAAGUCCAAACAUCAGUAUUUACAAUAAAUAUAAAUGGGUUAAUUUCACUCAAGUUUAAACAGACAAUUGGGAUUAAAAGGAAAAUCCAGUAUAAAUUGGCCGUAAGCAAACUCUUACAACACAGGAAGCUUGAAAAUACUGGGCUAAAAUAUUUAAUCGAAUGGUAGCCAAAUGAAAGCAAUAUAGCAAUAUUAAUAUAAUUAAAAGUAUCAAAAGAGAAAGGAUUUCAUAUUAAAGGAUAAAGUCCAUGAAGACAA
Non-coding RNA from Macaca mulatta (Rhesus monkey), 1061 nucleotides. The record is from RefSeq and is a predicted model, not a curated record. NCBI's taxonomy places the organism in Eukaryota, Metazoa, Chordata, Mammalia, Primates, Cercopithecidae.